This is a non-coding RNA of Agrilus planipennis (emerald ash borer), 74 nucleotides long. NCBI's taxonomy places the organism in Eukaryota, Metazoa, Arthropoda, Insecta, Coleoptera, Buprestidae. The record is from Rfam.
UCUUUCGUAGCUUAGUGGUCAGAGCAUUGGUGCGUAAAGCCAAAAAGUCUCGAGUUCGAUUCCCGGCGAGGGUG